This 584-nucleotide ribosomal RNA is filed under the name Baeomyces heteromorphus. Its description in RNAcentral is "LSU rRNA". It matches the Rfam family "Eukaryotic large subunit ribosomal RNA", at positions 31 to 635 of the family's 3401-position model. Lineage: Eukaryota; Fungi; Ascomycota; Lecanoromycetes; Baeomycetales; Baeomycetaceae. The record is from RNAcentral.
GACUUAAGCAUAUCAAUAAGCGGAGGAAAAGAAACCAACAGGGAUUGCUUCAGUAACGGCGAGUGAAGCGGCAACAGCUCAAAUUUGAAAUCUGACUUCGGUCCGAGUUGUAAUUUGUAGAGGAAUUCUCGGGUGCGAUACCGGUCUAAGUUCCUUGGAACAGGACGUCAUAGAGGGUGAGAAUCCCGUAUGUGACUGGUGGUCAAGCCCAUGUGAGUUUCCUUCGACGAGUCGAGUUGUUUGGGAAUGCAGCUCAAAAUGGGUGGUAAAUUUCAUCUAAAGCUAAAUACCGGCCAGAGACCGAUAGCGCACAAGUAGAGUGAUCGAAAGAUGAAAAGCACUUUGGAAAGAGAGUUAAAAAGUACGUGAAAUUGUUGAAAGGGAAGCGCUUGCAACCAGACUUGCUCACGGGUGAUCCGCUGUCCUUCGGGGCGGUUUAUUCUCCCGUGAUCAGGCCAACAUCGGUUUUGGCGGCUGGAUAUAGGCCUCAGGAAUGUGGCUCUCUCCGGGGAGUGUUAUAGCCUGGGGUGUCAUGCAGCCAGCUGGGACCGAGGACCGCGCUUCGGCUAGGAUGUUGGCGUAAU